CGCAGGCCGACGCUCACCUGUUCGCCCCGAGGCAGAAUUUCCCGCCUCGUCGUGGGAUUCAAAACAAACCUCAGUGUAAACAAUUACCUGUGUUACCUGCGCGGCCCUCGGCGUUACUCGCGUUACCUGCAUGGCCCGUGAUAGCCUUUUUUGGUUACCCACGAGUCCGCCUGUUACCCGCGUUACCUGUGUUGGCCGUGAGUGACUCUGCGUUACCGGUGUUACCUGUGAGUGCCUGUGUUACCUGCGAGUGCCUAUGUGUUACCCUCGCUCACUCGUGCCUUUUACCACACGCCCACAACACGUAAUUCUACCGCCGUAACACCGUCUCAGAGGCCGAAACCCUGGAUUACCGAAAAGGACCAUGUCUGCGCCGGGGGUGAGCCUGUGGGAGGUGGUGGAGGCUCGUGGGGGCCCCCUGAGCGAGAGCGAGACCUGGGCCGUCCUGGCAGCCGCGGCCACCUCCCUCCAGGACACCGCACUCUCAGGUAAGGUUCCCCUUGGGUCUGGACGGCCGGCUAGAGCUUCUGCUGAGCUCCUGCUGUUGCUACUACGCACGGCUCUGCUUUGGCCUUUUGAGGGUGCCGCGUGUCCUUUGGGCGAAGGCGUGUCCUCUUCUCUUGCCUUUCUUUUCGAUCUCUUUUAAAGUCAUAGCUUCAGAGGUAUUGUUACGCACAAAAAAAAGAAACCGCAUCGCCUCCAAUAGGAAUUCAUUCGAAGUCGACGCUCCGAUUGUUCUUUUCGACCUGCCUCCUCCU
Molecule: long non-coding RNA, 758 nt
Organism: Penaeus monodon (black tiger shrimp)
Lineage: Eukaryota; Metazoa; Arthropoda; Malacostraca; Decapoda; Penaeidae
Exons: 3
Source: RefSeq, a predicted model, not a curated record